CCUACGGGUGGCAGCAGUGAGGAAUAUUGGUCAAUGGCCGGAAGGCUGAACCAGCCAAGCCGCGUGAAGGACGAAGGUGCCAAGCAUUGUAAACUUCUUUUGUCAAGGGACAAAAUCAGGCUCGAGAGCCUGACCGAGGGUACUUGAAGAAAAAGCAUCGGCUAACUCGGUGCCAGCAGCCGCGGUAAUACGGGGGAUGCGAGCGUUACCCGGAUUUAUUGGGGUUAAAGGGAGCGUAGGCGGGCUGUUAAGUCAGCGGUAAAGGCCCGGGGUUCAACCUCGGCGAGCCGUUGAAACUGGCUGUCUUGAGAUGUCAAGAGGUAUGCGGAAUGCGCAGGGUAGCGGUGAAAUGCUUAGAUAUUGCGCAGAACUCCGAUUGCGAAGGCAGCAUACCGGCGGCGAUCUGACGCUGAGGCACGAAAGCGUGGGUAUCGAACAGGAUUAGAUACCCGUGUAGUC
This 459-nucleotide ribosomal RNA is filed under the name uncultured bacterium. RNAcentral describes it as "partial 16S ribosomal RNA". It matches the Rfam family "Bacterial small subunit ribosomal RNA", at positions 338 to 795 of the family's 1533-position model. The record is from RNAcentral.